This 400-nucleotide ribosomal RNA is filed under the name uncultured bacterium. Its description in RNAcentral is "bacterial SSU rRNA". It matches the Rfam family "Bacterial small subunit ribosomal RNA", at positions 355 to 772 of the family's 1533-position model. The record is from RNAcentral.
UGAGGAAUAUUGGACAAUGGGCGCAAGCCUGAUCCAGCCAUGCCGCGUGAGUGAUGAAGGCCCUAGGGUUGUAAAACUCUUUUAGUGGAGAAAAUAAUGAUGGUAUCCACAGAAAAAGCUCCGGCUAACUUCGUGCCAGCAGCCGCGGUAAUACGAAGGGAGCUAGCGUUACUCGGAAUCACUGGGCGUAAAGCGUAUGUAGGCGGAAAUUCAAGUCAGAGGUGAAAUCCCCAGGCUCAACCUGGGAAUUGCCUUUGAAACUGUAUUUCUUGAGUAUGGUAGAGGAUGGUGGAAUUUUCAGUGUAGAGGUGAAAUUCGUAGAUAUUGAAAAGAACACCGGUGGCGAAGGCGACCAUCUGGGCCAUUACUGACGCUGAGAUACGAAAGCGUGGGGAGCAAA